GUGCUCGCUUUGGCAGCCCAUAUGCUAAAAUUGGAACAAUACAGAGAAGAUUAGCCUGGCCCCAUACAAUUCGUGCAAAUUCGUGAAGCUUCCAUAUAUUU
Molecule: small nuclear RNA, 101 nt
Organism: Panthera leo (lion)
Lineage: Eukaryota; Metazoa; Chordata; Mammalia; Carnivora; Felidae
Source: Ensembl